GGGGCGGUGGCGGAACAGGCAGACGCAGCGGACUUAAAAUCCGCCGGUGGUGACACCUUGUGGGUUCAAGUCCCACCCGCCCUACCA
This 87-nucleotide transfer RNA is filed under the name Anaerolineaceae bacterium. RNAcentral's name for it is "tRNA-Leu". It matches the Rfam family "tRNA". From Rfam's summary of the family: Transfer RNA (tRNA) molecules are approximately 80 nucleotides in length. Their secondary structure includes four short double-helical elements and three loops (D, anti-codon, and T loops). The record is from RNAcentral. RNAcentral also lists the same sequence under 2 other names. Lineage: Bacteria; Bacillati; Chloroflexota; Anaerolineae; Anaerolineales; Anaerolineaceae.